RNAcentral lists this ribosomal RNA (425 nucleotides) under uncultured bacterium. Its description in RNAcentral is "partial 16S ribosomal RNA". It matches the Rfam family "Bacterial small subunit ribosomal RNA", at positions 354 to 796 of the family's 1533-position model. The record is from RNAcentral.
GUGGGGAAUCUUGCGCAAUGGGCGAAAGCCUGACGCAGCCAUGCCGCGUGGAUGAUGAAGGUCUUAGGAUUGUGAAAUCCUUUCACCGGUGAAGAUAAUGACUGGAGCCGGAGAAGAAGCCCCGGCUAACUUCGUGCCAGCAGCCGCGGUAAUACGAAGGGGGCUAGCGUUGCUCGGAAUUACUGGGCGUAAAGGGAGCGUAGGCGGACAUUUAAGUCAGGGGUGAAAUCCAGAGGCUCAACCUCGGAACUGCCUUUGAUACUGGGUGUCUUGAGUGUGAGAGAGGUGAGUGGAACUCCGAGUGUAGAGGUGAAAUUCGUAGAUAUUCGGAAGAACACCAGUGGCGAAGGCGACUCACUGGCUCAUUACUGACGCUGAGGCUCGAAAGCGUGGGGAGCAAACAGGAUUAGAAACCCUGGUAGUCC